CGGCAAUUUCGCCACAUCCGCCGCGAGGCGGAGCCGGAAAGCCACGGGUCUUGGAAUAAGACGGCCGGGUUGCCUUC
RNAcentral lists this non-coding RNA (77 nucleotides) under Methylomonas sp. RNAcentral describes it as "c-di-GMP sequence". It matches the Rfam family "c-di-GMP-I riboswitch aptamer". Rfam says of the family: GEMM was predicted in a large-scale screen for bacterial structured RNA regulatory elements. Genes associated with GEMM are involved in a diverse array of functions, including chemotaxis regulation, signal transduction, secretion and chitin. RNAcentral also lists the same sequence under 1 other name. The record is from RNAcentral. Lineage: Bacteria; Pseudomonadati; Pseudomonadota; Gammaproteobacteria; Methylococcales; Methylococcaceae.